UCUCAUAAAUAUUGAGUUCAAAUUCGAUGGGUAAUCGGACAUCAGAAUUCAUCGAUAUGUAACCCUGAUCGAAGAGUCCCAAACCAGUGGGACUCUUGACCCCGGUACCCAAAAUGUGUGGGACUCAUGAUCAGAGAAUCUUAAUUCUCUAUCAUAAAGUCUCAGACAUGUAGGACUCAUAGUUCACAAGCAUAAGGACUCUUCAUCAGCUAUUAGAUCAGAUAGGAACCUCUAAUGUGUGUGACCCCGCAGGUUCGAACCUAAGCCGGUAGCACAGGAAUCAAUUUCUGUACUAAUUGAAGUGACCAUCUAGCA
RNAcentral lists this long non-coding RNA (315 nucleotides) under Elaeis guineensis (African oil palm). RNAcentral's name for it is "long non-coding RNA (EGUI_LNC044062)". The record is from RNAcentral. Lineage: Eukaryota; Viridiplantae; Streptophyta; Magnoliopsida; Arecales; Arecaceae.